GACGAACGCUGGCGGCGUGCUUAACACAUGCAAGUCGAACGAUGAAGAAGAGAAACGCGAACUUCGGUUCAAAUUUCACUUCGGAUUAGUGGCAGACGGGUGAGUAACGCGUGAGCAACCUACCUCUUACAAAAGGAUAGCCUCGGGAAACCGUGAUUAAUACCAUAUGACACAUUCAUAAGGCAUCUUAAGAAUGUUAAAGCUACGGCGGUAAGAGAUGGGCUCGCGUCCCAUUAGCUAGUUGGUGAGGUAACGGCCCACCAAGGCGACGAUGGGUAACCGGCCUGAGAGGGUGAACGGUCACAUUGGAACUGAGACGCGGUCCAAACUCCUACGGGAGGCAGCAGUGGGGAAUAUUGCACAAUGGAGGGAACUCUGAUGCAGCGACGCCGCGUGAGCGAUGAAGGAAUUCGUUUCGUAAAGCUCUGUUCUAUGGGAAGAAAAGGACUGUACCAUAGGAGAAAGCCCCGGCUAAAUACGUG
Molecule: ribosomal RNA, 482 nt
Filed under: uncultured bacterium
Lineage: Bacteria
Description: partial 16S ribosomal RNA
Rfam family: Bacterial small subunit ribosomal RNA
Source: RNAcentral